RNAcentral lists this ribosomal RNA (657 nucleotides) under Triticum aestivum (bread wheat). Its description in RNAcentral is "partial small subunit ribosomal RNA". Lineage: Eukaryota; Viridiplantae; Streptophyta; Magnoliopsida; Poales; Poaceae. The record is from RNAcentral.
AUGACGCCCAAACGUAAAAGAGAUGACACACCUCCUGAUGAUAAAAACAAGUCUUCUGAGAAGAACGAUAACAAGAACACUUCCUCCUACCGGGGCGGCAAAGCCUGUUGCUUGCAGCCACCUGUCGAGGAGAAGCAAGAUGAGCCUGAGGAAAGUUUAAACUCUGAAAGUGAGACUAGUGGAUUGAAUGGGCCUCUGUUGAUUGAGGAGAUGGCAAUGGAACUUGCUGCCUCUUGCUCUCAACAGGAGGGUUCGGUGGUGGUCCCUGGUGGUAAUGAUGAUGAUCAUGAUCCUGUUGAUCAUGAGUCUGGAUACAACCAAACCCUGAAGAUUUCUGAGGUAAUGGGAGAGGUGGAAGCAAACAUGAAGAUGUCGAACGACUACACGCCAGCGAAUGCUCACCUCCAGCAUAUGGACAUGGAAGCAAGGGCUGCUCAUCUGGCCAGUAUCAGAAAUCUGAAAGGUAACACUAGCACUGUUAAUCACAACGCAUUUGCUGUUUUGGCUGACAAUGAAAUUAUUAGUCGUGCGUCUAAGAUGGUGGUGUUAAUUCCGGAUAAUGACUUUUCUUGUGUUGAUAUCCUGAGAGAGUUGGAAUCUGUUAGAAAUAAUCUGGUAGAAAAAGACAACAAGCCUAUAGAUGACCAGGGGGGAUGA